AGUGAACGCUGGCGGUAGGCCUAACACAUGCAAGUCGAACGGCAGCACAGUAAGAGCUUGCUCUUACGGGUGGCGAGUGGCGGACGGGUGAGGAAUACAUCGGAAUCUACUUUUUCGUGGGGGAUAACGUAGGGAAACUUACGCUAAUACCGCAUACGACCUACGGGUGAAAGCAGGGGAUCUUCGGACCUUGCGCGAUUGAAUGAGCCGAUGUCGGAUUAGCUAGUUGGCGGGGUAAAGGCCCACCAAGGCGACGAUCCGUAGCUGGUCUGAGAGGAUGAUCAGCCACACUGGCACUGAGACACGGUCCAGACUCCUACGGGAGGCAGCAGUGGGGAAUAUUGGACAAGGGGCGCAAGCCUGAUCCGGCCAUACCGCGUGGGUGAAGAAGGCCUUCGGGUUGUAAAGCCCUUUUGUUGGGAAAGAAAAGCAGCAGGUUAAUACCCCGCUGUUCUGACGGUACCCAAAGAAUAAGCACCGGCUAACUUCGUG
RNAcentral lists this ribosomal RNA (492 nucleotides) under uncultured bacterium. RNAcentral's name for it is "partial 16S ribosomal RNA". It matches the Rfam family "Bacterial small subunit ribosomal RNA", at positions 29 to 507 of the family's 1533-position model. The record is from RNAcentral.